RNAcentral lists this ribosomal RNA (303 nucleotides) under uncultured bacterium. RNAcentral describes it as "partial 16S ribosomal RNA". It matches the Rfam family "Bacterial small subunit ribosomal RNA", at positions 507 to 807 of the family's 1533-position model. The record is from RNAcentral.
AGCAGUAGCCGCGGGAAAACGUAGGGGGCAAGCGUUAUCCGGACUUACUGGGUGUAAAGGGAGCGUAGACGGCAAAUAAAGUCUGAAGUGAAAGCCCGCAGCUCAACUGCGGAGUUGCUUUGGAAACUUAUAAGCUGGAGUGUCGGAGGGGUAAGCGGAAUUCCCAGUGUAGCGGUGAAAUGCGUAGAUAUUGGGAGGAACACCGGAGGCGAAGGCGGCUUACUGGAAGAUAACUGACGUUGAGGCUCGAAGGCGUGGGUAGCAAACAGGAUUAGAGACCCCAGUAGUCCCUGUCUCUUAUAC